This 94-nucleotide ribosomal RNA is filed under the name Ligilactobacillus salivarius. The record is from RNAcentral. Lineage: Bacteria; Bacillati; Bacillota; Bacilli; Lactobacillales; Lactobacillaceae.
UACACCUGUUCCCAUUCCGAACACAGAAGUUAAGCUUCGUAACGCCGAGAGUAGUUAGAGGAACGCCUCUUGCGAGGGUAGGAAAUUGCUAUAU